AGUUAAUCAGUUUAAGAUGUCAUGAAACAUUUAAUUUGAGAUGUUAACUAAAGACUGCUGUUAGCUUUUGGCAACGUGGAGGCCCUAAAGAAGAGCAUCUUCACCUGACAAGUGGGAUCAACAGUAGACUGCAGUGGGUUGAGGCACAAGUGAGAGAUAUGAGGUUGGGGGCAACAUUUAUUGGACUGACAACUUUUUCCAACAUGGAGCUGUGAAGGUUUGGAGGAAGCUGGGCACUAAGAAAUGUGCUAUGUUUUUGGCAGGAAGUCACUGGCUCCAUCACUGAGUGGUUCUUUGGUCCCAGCUGCAGGUUGAUUGAUGGCAUCACAUCGAAGAACACUCUGGGGGGAGCUGUUUAUCCCCAUCUUCCAUCUGGAGCUGCUGGGAUAGAGUUCACUGUGAUGAUGGCUACUGAAUGAGCUGCACUGGCAGGACCUCUGUGACAAGGAAGGAUUGCGGCUAGGGAGCCAGGCCCGAAUCAAAGGAUGUCAAGGAAAUGAAUGGAGCUAAGCAGGAAACAGCCAACUCUUCUCAAACAUGAUGGGGCAGCAAUUCAAAAAGAAAGAUGGUGCACAGCUUUUAAAACUACAAAAUGGGAGAAUAUUAUGUUCCUUUGUUCUUUCACUUACAGAGGUUACUUUAUAGAUAUGUGUUUCAGAUCAAAUAAACA
RNAcentral lists this long non-coding RNA (670 nucleotides) under Homo sapiens (human). Its description in RNAcentral is "HSALNT0112149". Lineage: Eukaryota; Metazoa; Chordata; Mammalia; Primates; Hominidae. The record is from RNAcentral.